UACGUAGGUGGCAAACGUUAUCCGGAAUUACUGGGUGUAAAGAGUUCGUAGGCGUUUUAGAAGGUCUCUGAUUAAAUCCCAAAGCUCAACUUUGGAUCGGUUGGAGAAACCACUAGAAUAGAAGGGUAUCGAGGUGAGUGGAAUUUGUGGUGUAGCAGUGAAAUGCGUUGAUAUCACAAGGAACACCAAUGGCGAAGGCAGCUCACUAGGUAUUACUUGACGCUGAGGAACGAAAGCGUGGGUAGCAAACGGG
RNAcentral lists this ribosomal RNA (253 nucleotides) under uncultured bacterium. RNAcentral describes it as "partial 16S ribosomal RNA". It matches the Rfam family "Bacterial small subunit ribosomal RNA", at positions 524 to 776 of the family's 1533-position model. The record is from RNAcentral.